Molecule: long non-coding RNA, 2835 nt
Filed under: Oreochromis niloticus (Nile tilapia)
Lineage: Eukaryota; Metazoa; Chordata; Actinopteri; Cichliformes; Cichlidae
Description: lncRNA (ENSONIG00000032364.1)
Source: RNAcentral
UUUGCACUUUUUGAUGAGUGGUUGUAUGACAACAUGUUUUAAAGCAGCUGGGGCACAACCAGAUGUCAGGGAUGAAUGAUUAGGUCCACAAUACAUGGCUCAAGAAUAUUAAAAACCUCCUUGAAGAGGUGUGGUGGAAUACUGUCUAGGGGACAAUAAGAACCCAGAUAGCAAGACGACAUUGAAUCUAUGUUGAUUUUUCAUCCAAACCGUCGUAUAUGGUCGGGGUUGAAAUGCCAAUGUUGUAACAACAUUGAAAUACUGUGGUAAACCGACGGUCUUACUAUAGUGACGUUGUAACGAUGUUGAUUCACCGUUGUUUUUUUGUCAUUGAUAUUUGAUCUAUUUAUAGUCGACCAGGUGACAACAACAACGUCGAGAAAACGUCUAUUUAUAGUUGACGAUCAUUCGGCUCCGGUCACCAUCAAAAACCAUCGAUUUGUAGUUGAGCAUUAAAUUGCACUGCAACUGAUCGGGUAUAAAGUACCAGAGAAAGUAGAUUUAUUGUUCAUUUGUUAUCAAUGACUUGGUCUAGUUCACCAGCUUUAAAAAAUCGUGUCUACGUGCAAUUUAUGUAUAGUUGACCGAAAUUAAAGCAGCGAUCACUUGGACUAUUCCGCAGCACCCCUCUCACAUUGGUACAUCCCCCCAGGUAUUCAUUGUCUUCUACAGUAGAGCGGGACAUUUGAUUUACCGGAGAAGGCAUCAGUUCAUGCACUGCACUGGCCUGCACCACGAUUAGUAUAAGGCACAUUUCACGAAGCAGAACGCAGUCUUCAGAGAUAUCCACGUGAACGCUGUGAUACGUCUGACCUUCAGUCCGAAAAAGAAAACCCGGACCAGUCUUAAAAGAAAGCACAAACUAAAUCCCCUGUACACAUAUAUGGACUCAGAGGAUGAGCAGCCUACAAAAAAACGGUUUCCCCAGGACCCUCGAGUGAAAAUACCAGCCCUCAUCACUCCGCAGUCUGCCCCCCAGCCCACUGAUAGCAACCAUCAUAAUGCCCCACCCAGCUUCCGGCACCUUUCGCCACUCCGGCACAAACCGACACAGCUUUGCGAUCUCGCCAGCAUGCAGAGUCUGAUGUCUUCCCUAUAGAUGAUUCCAGAGACUCUGUGAGGCCACUAUUACAAGGCAAGUUUGAAAAUCUUGGAAUUUCACAGUUUACAUGGUAUAACAAAUAUAUGUGACAGGCAAAAACUAGUAAACACUUUUAGCAGUUACAAGAACUAACAAAUGAAUAUCCAACAAAAGGGAAUAGAAAUACAUUGUACUGCCAAUACUUUGGUUUAUUCUUUGUAUGACUUGAAAAUCAGGCUUUAGGGAAAACUAAAUGACAUGUUUCUAUCAUCAAUUACAUGAAGUAAACACACAAGCACUUGCAUACACAUUUAAGACAUGAGACACGCUAAUUCCAUCUCAUAAAAUGUGUCUAUAGGUGAGACGCUUUGCGUUGAUUGGUGCUGCUGGACCACACUGGAGGUGCGAGUCCGCCGUGUAAUGGUUUAUGCCAUUACAAAGGAGCUGGCCUCUGUACUCAACUGGGCAGGGAAAAAAAAACCAAGGACCAGACAAAGCAAAAAAGGGCAUUUAAAGAUACAGCGCUGUGCAGAUGCAUAUUUGGUAAGUUUUAACAUUUAUUGUACUUUUAUGAGCCUAAAGUGAACAAUAAAGGGAUCAAUUGAUGUGCUGGGUGCGUUUCACAUUUCCUAUGUCUGUUUUUUGCUAUAUUACUUUGUCUUUCUUAAUAACAAGACUUUCAUGUCCGGUUAAUCUGGAGAUGGAGUCUUUGGUCUUCAGCUUGUUUUGUCCUCGGGUUGUACACUUUGUACAGCCCGAGGACCCCAUGUUUUCUUUUUUUUUUUAAAGGAUACACGGCACACCAUGCUAAGACAUAUCACAUUUUCAGCUUAUAGCUCUUUGGGAAUCAAAUGCGGCAGUUUGCUGAUUUCCGCCUGGUGACUUUAAUGUUUAUCAGCCUAGGAGUUUACAUACUUUCUCCCUGCUGAAGACAAUUAACAAGAGCUUAUUCAUGUGCUCUAAUUCCCUUUUUUUGUCUUUGUUUUUUUGUGUGUGUGUCUAUUUUUGUCCUAGAUGGCCUGGCGCAGCAGGUAGGGGCGAACUCUAUGUCUGAGUUGGUCUUUGCUCAAGCAGUCCAGAAAUGGCUCAGAUAUGCUCCAGAUCGUACGGGUGGCGCGCAGGACGCACAUCAUCCAUCCCCAUCCCGGAGUAAAUAAUAAAAAGUGACAUGAAACAUAGAAAUGUAAAUAGGAAACUUUGUCUUUUAAUAAAGUAUUUUGCAAAUGAUACAUGUCUAUUGACCUUUUUUGUUUUUUUGUUUUUUUUUUCAAUAAAAAGCAACUGUACGAAAGAGGUGGAAAAUCAAUACCAUAGCUCAACAGUGUUUCAAUAUCAGAAUCUGACAUUGUUUCAAUGUCAACAGUGUUAGAAAAUAUAACGUAGAAUCAAUGUCAGGUUUCAACAUUGAUUCAACAUCAAAACCUGACGUUGUUUCAACGUUAAAAAUGGGUGCAAGAGUGAUGUUGGGUCAACGUCACACUUCAACGUUGCUUCAAUGACGUCGCCUGAUAUUGACUCAACAUUGUUUCAAUGUUUCCUUGCUAUCUGGGAAGGGUGCCUAUGCUGAACUAUGUCAGAUAAAAAGGGGAGAGAUGCUUGGUCAAAGUUCUCAAAGACAACUGGGCAGAAAAGAGAAACAGCAGGAGGGACAGGAUUAGAGGGAAAAGACCUGAGAGCCGAAAUCUUUUUUAAAAAUGUGAGAAACCUUGCAGAUGAGGGCACAAUACAAGCAGCACUACAUGGAUUUAUAAGAG